GGAGGCUUGAAUGGAUAAUCAGGAGGGAAGUGUAUGGAUACCAAGAAAAUACCACCAGCAUAAGGGCUGUCUGCUGGACCCAUAAUAGUUGCUUGCCAAUGAAAUAUGUCAUCUCCAGCAGGACCUGCACUGCAGGAGACUGGAGGGUCCUUCUGCAAGUCCUUCAAUUCCUUGUUAAUUCGUUUUGAAGCCAUCCCAAAUCCUCUAAAAGUUCAGAAAAAAUAAACUUCUGGUUAGGGUUUGAUAGAUGAAGAGAGGAAGAGAUUGCG
Molecule: unclassified non-coding RNA, 269 nt
Filed under: Hevea brasiliensis (rubber tree)
Lineage: Eukaryota; Viridiplantae; Streptophyta; Magnoliopsida; Malpighiales; Euphorbiaceae
Source: RNAcentral